GCCCGGUUAAUUCAGUUGGUAGAAUGUGCGGCUUUUACCAUUAAGUUGAAAGUUAACCGCAAAGUCGUGGGUUCGAGCCCCACAUCGGGCG
Non-coding RNA from Aspergillus nanangensis, 91 nucleotides. Lineage: Eukaryota; Fungi; Ascomycota; Eurotiomycetes; Eurotiales; Aspergillaceae. The record is from the annotation of a GenBank genome assembly.